Molecule: antisense RNA, 187 nt
Filed under: Galdieria sulphuraria
Lineage: Eukaryota; Rhodophyta; Bangiophyceae; Galdieriales; Galdieriaceae
Description: Antisense RNA which regulates isiA expression
Rfam family: Antisense RNA which regulates isiA expression
Source: Rfam by way of RNAcentral
GAUAUCCAAAAAUUAUUAAUGGAUUUAAGGUUGGAUUAGUGAUAUAACGUACAUCUCCUCCGCCCGGAGCCCAAGUAUCAUAAACUCCACCUAUAAACAUUGCUUUUACUACUAGUAAAAACGCUCCAACCCCCAAUAAAAUUAAAUGAAUACCUAAAAUUGUUGUCAUUUUAUUUUUAUCUCUCCA